UACAGAGGGGGCAAGCGUUGUUCGGAAUUACUGGGCGUAAAGGGCGCGUAGGCGGCCCUCUAAGUCGAACGUGAAAUCCCUCGGCUCAACCGAGGAACUGCGCCCAAUACUACCGUGCUUGAGGGAGAUAGAGGUGAGCGGAACUUAGGGUGGAGCGGUGAAAUGCGUUGAUAUCCUAAGGAACACCGGUGGCGAAAGCGGCUCACUGGAUCUCUUCUGACGCUGAGGCACGAAAGCUAGGGUAGCGAACGGG
This 253-nucleotide ribosomal RNA is filed under the name uncultured bacterium. Its description in RNAcentral is "partial 16S ribosomal RNA". It matches the Rfam family "Bacterial small subunit ribosomal RNA", at positions 524 to 776 of the family's 1533-position model. The record is from RNAcentral.